UGCAGUUCGAGCGGUAGCACAGAGAGCUUGCUCUCGGGUGACGAGCGGCGGACGGGUGAGUAAUGUCUGGGAAACUGCCUGAUGGAGGGGGAUAACUACUGGAAACGGUAGCUAAUACCGCAUAACGUCGCAAGACCAAAGAGGGGGACCUUCGGGCCUCUUGCCAUCAGAUGUGCCCAGAUGGGAUUAGCUAGUAGGUGGGGUAACGGCUCACCUAGGCGACGAUCCCUAGCUGGUCUGAGAGGAUGACCAGCCACACUGGAACUGAGACACGGUCCAGACUCCUACGGGAGGCAGCAGUGGGGAAUAUUGCACAAUGGGCGCAAGCCUGAUGCAGCCAUGCCGCGUGUAUGAAGAAGGCCUUCGGGUUGUAAAGUACUUUCAGCGGGGAGGAAGGUGUUGUGGUUAAUAACCACAGCAAUUGACGUUACCCGCAGAAGAAGCACCGGCUAACUCCGUGCCAGCAGCCGCGGUAAUACGGAGGGUGCAAGCGUUAAUCGGAAUUACUGGGCGUAAAGCGCACGCAGGCGGUCUGUCAAGUCGGAUGUGAAAUCCCCGGGCUCAACCUGGGAACUGCAUUCGAAACUGGCAGGCUAGAGUCUUGUAGAGGGGGGUAGAAUUCCAGGUGUAGCGGUGAAAUGCGUAGAGAUCUGGAGGAAUACCGGUGGCGAAGUUA
This 676-nucleotide ribosomal RNA is filed under the name Enterobacter ludwigii. RNAcentral describes it as "bacterial SSU rRNA". It matches the Rfam family "Bacterial small subunit ribosomal RNA", at positions 56 to 724 of the family's 1533-position model. Lineage: Bacteria; Pseudomonadati; Pseudomonadota; Gammaproteobacteria; Enterobacterales; Enterobacteriaceae. The record is from RNAcentral.